This 545-nucleotide ribosomal RNA is filed under the name Pseudomonas aeruginosa. Its description in RNAcentral is "bacterial SSU rRNA". It matches the Rfam family "Bacterial small subunit ribosomal RNA", at positions 102 to 643 of the family's 1533-position model. The record is from RNAcentral. Lineage: Bacteria; Pseudomonadati; Pseudomonadota; Gammaproteobacteria; Pseudomonadales; Pseudomonadaceae.
ACGGGUGAGUAAUGCCUAGGAAUCUGCCUGGUAGUGGGGGAUAACGUCCGGAAACGGGCGCUAAUACCGCAUACGUCCUGAGGGAGAAAGUGGGGGAUCUUCGGACCUCACGCUAUCAGAUGAGCCUAGGUCGGAUUAGCUAGUUGGUGGGGUAAAGGCCUACCAAGGCGACGAUCCGUAACUGGUCUGAGAGGAUGAUCAGUCACACUGGAACUGAGACACGGUCCAGACUCCUACGGGAGGCAGCAGUGGGGAAUAUUGGACAAUGGGCGAAAGCCUGAUCCAGCCAUGCCGCGUGUGUGAAGAAGGUCUUCGGAUUGUAAAGCACUUUAAGUUGGGAGGAAGGGCAGUAAGUUAAUACCUUGCUGUUUUGACGUUACCAACAGAAUAAGCACCGGCUAACUUCGUGCCAGCAGCCGCGGUAAUACGAAGGGUGCAAGCGUUAAUCGGAAUUACUGGGCGUAAAGCGCGCGUAGGUGGUUCAGCAAGUUGGAUGUGAAAUCCCCGGGCUCAACCUGGGAACUGCAUCCCAAACUACUGAGCUA